Molecule: long non-coding RNA, 4992 nt
Organism: Lolium rigidum
Lineage: Eukaryota; Viridiplantae; Streptophyta; Magnoliopsida; Poales; Poaceae
Exons: 14
Source: RefSeq, a predicted model, not a curated record
CUAGACUUCCAUGGCCAUCGGCCGAUCCAGCCAUGGGGGGCUUCUACCGGUCGACGGACGCCGGCCACCAGGACGCGACCCCGCAGAGGGGAUCAGCAGAUGCAGGCAAGGAGAUGACGCCCGCCUUGUCCCUGCCGCCGCCUUCCUCGCAUCCUCCUCCGCGCGAGGAAAAUCGGUCGCAGCAGCGCCUGUGGUAUGUCUCCUCCGACGUGCACGCCGCCGAUUCAUGAGGUGUCAGUUAUGGAUUUACUGCAGUAGCUUUCUUCAGAUUGGUUUGAGAAUUAUCCAUUUGCUAGCAGGCACCCCACUGAAACUUUGCCCUUUAGUCGACGCUAAUGACGUGUGACUGCGGCUGGUGGGAGGAGAUCGCUGUGGCGCCGCGGGGAUGGCGACGAGAAGGCACCUAGGACGAGCUGGUUGUCACCUGCCCUAGCCACUGCUGCUGACAAUCUAGCUCGAGCUGCUGCUAGCGCCUUUCGGCCACCGGCCACAUCCUCGAGCUGUUGCAUGCCUGCCGAAGAUGUGUGCUUUCGCCGGUGGGAGACAAUGAUAGUGGAGGAGCUUCGCAGCUCAUCAGUGGUCUGCGACCAUGAUUGCACUCUUGCCAUUGCCAACGCCAUGCUGUAAGCACCCUUGCCUCGACCUAGCUGCAGGACGACCAAAGGCUGCUCCUGCUGCUCCCUAUCUUCGUCGAGGUUGUUUUGCCACAGGGAGCAAAAAAUGAUUAUAAGUUGUCAUGAUUUGUGUGAAUAAACAAAGACACCAGGAGGAGAGGCGCAGCUCGAUGGCUAGUGGUGACCACAACUGCUCUCUUGCCAGCGCUGCCGCCACAGCAUGUGUGAUCCUUCUCGGACCUCCCCACUGCCAGGGCCAAGAAGUGAUAGGCGUGCAAGUACUCCCUGCCCUAACCUAGCGGACGACACAAUGUUGUUGCUGCAUCUGAUAAUGAUGAUGCAUGUCACCGUCAAGGUGGUUUUGCCAUUUCUAGUGAGAAAAGGAGAUCAAGGCUGGCCUCCGUGUGCUCCUGCUAGUGCACACAUGUUCGGGUUGCUUCUGUUGUCUUCCCUAUCUGUGUCCCCAAGCUGCUGCUGCGGGUACGGCUUCUCGGCCUCAGAUGCGGCCCUAGAUUCCUCCACUAGUCGUCGCAAGUGUCAUCAUCAGUGGGCUAGCUUCCCGGGUGGACGACGCCUCUUGGUGCACUGAGAUCGGCAUCGACUACAAUCCGUCCUAGAUCUGGAAGGGGCAUCUUCAAGAUCAUGUGCAUCCUGAGCCUUCGUCUUCUGGCUAAGGAGACAAGUCACUAUCUGAUUUGACACCAGAUUCUGUUGUACCCAUUAAACUUCCCCGGAUCCCUAAAUAUGUGAAUUCUUCUCAAGGACCUGUUAGUAAUACAUCAUCAAUAUCGUAGCGUGGUGCGGCGAACUCAGCUGUGAGUGUUCCAUGCUUUUUGAUGCCAAGCUCUUCGAUGGGAUCUCUUAGCUCGGACAAAUUAAGUUUCAACCUAGAUGCUAAUGUUCGACCAGGAAUUCAAGUUGAACCCAAAUGAUAAGGGUUUCACUCCAUUGACUUCUCCUGUAAGGCCACCUCGCCCUCUAGCAGCUGAUGCAACAUACUAUUAUCCUGAUAACAUGCAAACUACUCUUGGACCUUGGCAUGGCCACAUGGGGAUUGAUUAGGUAGCUAAGCCUCACAUCUCAUUGAUGACACGGUGGUUGAAGCAUCUUUGAGCACUCUUAUAUUGUGUUUAAUAAGGUGAACAUACCAUCGCAAGCCUAGGAGAUGCAUGUACUUUGUCGAGACCUUCCCAUGAUCUCAUUACUUCCAUUUCGGUGAACUCUCGAAUAAGGGUAAGAGAAGACGAACAAGGACUACCCCCACAGGUGGUUGGGCAGUGCUGGUCUCCCCGAGCUCCUGCUGGUGGUUGCCUGCCUGGGCUGCUGCUGCCGACUACUUCUGUCUCGCUACCAUGCAAUGAUGGAAAGUUCACUGUGGUGCAACUGCGGCAGAGGUGGUUUCUUCGUCGAGGCCGUGAUUUAGUUGAGUUUGUGGUUCUCCUCUUCUUUAGAGCAAAUGAAUUGAGUGCAAGGCAGCCGACUUUCUUGCUGUUUACAUGGUUGAUGGAAUUGUUGGUAUGCUCUCAAGAUACCCACCCACAUUAGCUAUUGGAAGAUAUGCAGUCCUCUAUGGAAGUCACGGAAGCUGGGACAACUCUAGCUGGUGAAUUGAGCUUGCUUAUGCUACAUCUUAAUUAUUUCCGUGCUUGCAUUAUAUAUCUUGAUCACUUGCAUUAUUUCUGGUUGCAUCACAAAAACUAGGACUGCACUACCUAAACUCUAGCACAACCAUCUUAUGCAUCUUGCUGCUAUUGCAUCAGGUAAAUCACCACUUGCACUAUCUAAAUUCUAGUACUAAAUGGACGCUCACUCUUUUUUCUGUCCAUGUGGAGUUCUGAAUGUUAGGAAGUAUCUGUAUCGAGAUUGACUUCAGUUGUUCAUGUACUUGUACUUCUUAUGAUAGGUAAAUACUCAUGUCGUGUCCAAUUGCUUGGCAGCUGCAUAAAUCUCCCCUUGAUAGCCUCUGUUACCUACUACGGUCUAGUUAUACAUGUUCUCAUGAAAUUUCUGAUGUGAUUCCCAAUGGCUUGGCAGCAACAUUUGCCAUUUUUUUGCCUAUUUUAUUUGUGUAUUGACCCAGUGUGUACAAAAAUAUGCUCAUCCAUGUGACUACUAAAUCAUUCUUGCUUAUUAGUCUUGUGACAGCUGUCGUGCUGACAUAAGUUACCUCCCAAGUUCAAGAGCACGUGUGAGAGAUUCUUCCCAUGCUAUGACACUUCCGUUAUGGAACGUGAUUGAUGCUACUCUUGUUUUGUAUAUGAAUGCCUGUGCUGCGGGCUGGCCGUGGACUAGAGAAUAUCCAGCCCUCUAAAUGAUUUAUUGGCCUUAUCCAGUUUUUCUGCCUAGUUCCUGGUGUUCUGUAAGAAUUAAGGUCUGGGAAGCAGGACACACUGGGUUGUUUGCUCACACUUGGUUUUAUUUCUUCUUUAUCCGUUUACAUAGUGUAUGAGUUGAUACCCCUAGCUUGCUUACUCUGCCUGAUGCAUGUAUGUAUGCCUAGGUACGUAAUGUAGUACUCAUGUAUUGCUUAUUUUGUUGCACAAUUUUUCGAGAAAAUGCAAAUGACCUUUGUAUCUCAUUUCAUUGAAAGACGGAGAGUUUGUUACAAGCUUCCUAGGAAGCGGGUGUUACAACAGUUUUGACUUAAUGCACGUCUCAGGUCGAUGGCAGGACUACCCUAAGGCUUGUGGCACCGGCUCUAGCCCAAGGCUUUUCUUCAUCUUUAAUCCGGGAGACCAGGCCAUCUGUUCUCAUGCAAAUCUUCAGCCACUUUUCUCUUUAAUGUGAACCACCCCUUGUAUGUCCCGCGUCCAGCUGUUCUCAUGCAAAUCUUCAACCACUGUUCUUGACAUACGUCAUCGUUUGGGUAUACAGGCAUGUAGUUGAGGCGCAAUAUCAGUGAUGGAGUGGCCUCCAAGCCAGCGGUCCUCCCAGAAGCGCACCGUUAGCCAUUGCCAAUGUUCAUCGUGGUAGACGAAAAUAAGAUUGCACGUUCUUACACGUAGAAUUGGAGCUCCAGGCGCAACCUGUGUCAGUGCGGCUCAGCCAUAACCAGCGCACUUCCCAGAAGACCACGCAAUGCCUGACCUUCACAGCCUAGACCACGCACUCCAAGGCCACCUGCAGCAAUUUCCCUGCAGACACGCCUCCAAUUGACAUGGCGGUUUCCUCCCUUUGCAUCUGCCCUGCCUUCCCAGAAGAACCCUACUUCGAUAUUUUUGUUGAAUUGUUUGAUGCUCUUCUUUGGCGGUGCGAGGACCAGAGCUGAUGCACAAGGAUGUCAUUGAGCACGGACCUGACGAGUACGAGGCAACACCAGGCUUAUUCAUCAGAUGAGCCUUACAGGUUGGUAGCUUUCCUCGCAUCUUCUGUACCACUGGCUGUAGCUGCGCAGCGGUCAGCCUCCUAAGUGGGAGAGGGAUGCCCAGGUAGAUGAUGGGAAACUCGACGAUUGGGCAGCCAAGGUCCACCGAAACCUUCAUGGCGUCCAUGUCGCUGUAGUUCAUCAGUGUAGCUGUGGUUUUCGUGUAAUUCACAUGCAACCCUAAUGCUUGGCCAAACAAUUGCAGGAUCUUCUUCACCGUCAUGAUGUUGUUGCACUAUUUCAACUUAUUUAUAUCAUUGCUAGAUCAAUUAGGUACUGUUGUAGCCUAUCCAUGUUGUUUGGUUUGAUUAAAUGACUUAUUGUCUCAAGUAUCUCGUGAAUAGUUUGGCUCCUUUAAGGGGUAUGUUUCUUGACUUUGUCGAAUGGAUGAACCUACUAAUUACUUUGGCAAAUGGCAGCUACAAGAAAGAAAUAAUGAUGACAACUAUUGAAGCAAUCUUGCCGGCCAGUAACAAAAGAGAGUUGCAAGACAUGUACUCAAGAGAACAGGGAAGCUCAUAAUAUCUGGCGUUUAGGUGAUAGGAUGUGCAGGCAGCAUGUUGACGUGGCCCUUGCUCUUGAAGGGAGGAGUGGAGCUGGAGAUCCGGCCGGACAUGCUUUCUUUGUCGAUUUCAUUGACUGAUCCAGUGGCAUGUUCACUUCCUGUUAAAUAGUAAUGAGUAGGUGGAGUGCUGUUUGGGCCGAAGCAUCUAUGUGGAUGGAAAGGUCCUUUAUUUAUAAUACUAUGCAAUAUAAUGUUGGUACCAGAAAUUUCUUGGGCUUACCAUGUUCAACCUGAUGGAAGAGUGAGAGAUCCAUGUGGGUUCUUUUUAUGCCAAAACUGAGCGAAUUAACAUUUCACGUUGAUGAGAGAUGCAGGUAGUGCUUGUUUUCUUUCCGUCUUCCCGGUUGUAUUAUUGUAUAAAUGACACCAUUUUGACUGUGUGGAACAUACAUAUCCUUGCUCAGAAAUAGAUGCAAUUCCGUGUGCAAGCAGGCACCUGAUUUGUUGUA